UCCCUGGUGGUCCAGUGGUUAAGAACCUGCCUUGCAAUGCAGGGGACCCAGGUUCAAUCCCUGGUCAGGGUG
Bos taurus (domestic cattle) is the source of this 72-nucleotide non-coding RNA. The record is from Rfam. Lineage: Eukaryota; Metazoa; Chordata; Mammalia; Artiodactyla; Bovidae.